RNAcentral lists this transfer RNA (62 nucleotides) under Camaena poyuensis. Its description in RNAcentral is "tRNA-Pro". The record is from RNAcentral. Lineage: Eukaryota; Metazoa; Mollusca; Gastropoda; Stylommatophora; Camaenidae.
UUAAAAGCAGUAUUGGAUUAUAUCAACUUUGGGAGUUGGAGGUUAGAGCUUCUACUUUUAAA